Molecule: long non-coding RNA, 3175 nt
Filed under: Capsicum annuum
Lineage: Eukaryota; Viridiplantae; Streptophyta; Magnoliopsida; Solanales; Solanaceae
Description: long non-coding RNA (CANN_LNC004941)
Source: RNAcentral
UUUUUUUUGGAUAAUUCCUUCAAAUUUAAUUUACUUAUUAAUAUUAUUAUUAUUAUUAUUUUACAAAAAUAAAUAUAUCAAUUACCAUUUCCUCUAGUCAUUUACAUUUCUCAGCAAUUAUACUAAAAUCACGAGAAUUGCAUUAUUUUGCAUAGAUAAAAAACUGCUCUAAUUGAUAUGUGAGAAGGUGGUAAUAUUAAUUUUUAAUUAAUUUAAAAAUUAAAAAAUAAUUAAAAUUGUAAAACUUCACCAAUUAACUAAUAAUGAAAUUUCAGAAGUACAAAAAUAUAUGCUUGCACUAAUGCUUCAUCAUAAAGAAUUUGGAGGGGUAUGCCACAUGAUCAUAAUAUGUAUCAACUUAAUUGUAGCUUCAUUUUUUAAUGUUGAGUUGUAACUACCAAUAAUUAUAAUGAGCAAUAUGAAAAGGAUAGUAAAUUCCUAAUUGUAAUAAUUAAGGAAUCAAUUUUUACAUUAAUUACUUAGAAAAUAGAAAAAACCAAAAAACAGAGGGAAAAAUAAGUUAGGUAUUGUAUUAAAAUGUAAAAAUAAAUAAUAAUUAUAUGAACUAAAAGAGAUAUUUUUUAUAUAACUUUAAAGAGGCCAAAUAAUUACAUAAAUAUAAAUUUAUGGCCUUAUAUGCUAUUUGUCUUCUUCUUUUCUUUUCAAAACAAAAAAUUACAAAUAAUAUUUUUUUUUCACUCAAAUACUCUAUUUUAUUGUCAAUUUUUUUAAUUUAAUGCUUGAACAAAUAGGGUAUUGAAUAUUUUUUUUUUUUUGAAAAAUAGCCAACAAGCUAAGUGCUAAAGCUAUAAUUUGGACAUAUUCAUUUUCUUUUAAUUUUAGCUUAUUUUUAUACUCUUCUGACCUAAAGGUAAAUGUUUAAAAAUAAUUUUUUUCUUCAAACAACAAAAAAAUAAAAAUAAAAAGGAGCUUAAAAGCUAAAAAUACGUAAAAUAAAUUAAUUUAAAAACUCUCGAAGUUCUUGAAGUUAUUAAAUUUUCAUUCUUCAAAAUGCUUCUAACGAUCGUUUUUUACCUCAUUAUCGAAUUUAGAAAUUAGGAAUGCACUAACAUGCAAAAAAAAUAAUAACAUCAAGCACAUAAUGUUCAUUUUAGAAUGUUGCAAAAAAUAUCACAAUAAAAAUUUAUAAAAUCUAAUCCCAACUUAACAUAAUGAAAUAUGUAUGUACAACUAUAGUCAUAUGAAAGAAAGGAAAAAAAAUAAAAGGAGUUCAUUUCUCUUUUUCAACAUUCUAUUUUAUCUUAUCUAUUAUCCUAUUCUUGUCGUCAUUAUGUUUCUAAAAUACAAUUUUAAGAAAUAACAAGAGAAAAAGGUAUCACGCUAAAAAUUAUCAAAAUCUAAUUAUAACCUAACACAAUGAAAUAUGUAUGUACAAUUAUAGUCAUAUGAAAAAGAAAAAAUAAAAGGAGGUCAUUUCUCUUUUUCGUUACUACUCUAGUCAUUCAUUACAAUUAUUUAUUCUUUAUUACCUUCACUUUUUUUUUUCUCAUUGACAUUAAUUUUACAGUUACAACUACAUAAUACAUAAAAAUAAAUUAAUUAUCAUUAAGAUUAUGUUAUAAUAAUUUCUCUUAUGUGGGUUGUCUCAAACAAAUAGUGAAUUGGGUUCUAUUGCAAAAGAUCUAUUUUAAGGAUAAUUUUGAUUUAUUUUAUGAAAUUUUUAAUAAUCUAUUUAUUUAGUAGAUUAUGUAAAAAAAUAAAAAAAAUAAAGGUUUCACGUCAUCUUAUCUAUAUUUCUUCUUUAUAUCUAUUUUUAGUAUAACGACAAAUAAAAGUGAACAAAUUAUAUAGUAAUUUAAACUAUAUAAAGAAGGCAAAAAAGAAUACAUAUAUAAUUUUAAAAAAAGACACUCAUCUCAAGUGGUUCUUAUGUUCUUCUCCUAAAAUCUUUACAUAGUCAUCAUUUCAUCUUUACUUCAUUUGUUCACUAUUUGAUCUUUUCUCAUCCCUGUAAAAAAUAAUACAUCACAAAAAUUAAUAUAUUAUUAAAAAAAUGAUAAGAAAAUAGAUUUAAAUUAUACAUGUUCUUGCUUAAAAGUUACAAACAAUAUAAGAUAACAAUAACAACAAAUUUAAUGUAAUCUCAUGUAUGAGUUUAGCAAAUCAAUUAAAUGUCAAAGGAACAAUGCAAAAAAUGAUGGGGGAAAGAAGACUUAUAAUACUUCUAUUUAUAAGACAACAAUAUGGAAUAUCAAAGAUAUCAUGAACAUGACUAUUAAUAUAAUUUAGGAGUUAUGAUCAUCAAAGGUCAUGAGAGUAAUGAUAAAGAAAUAUUUAAUUUUUAUAUUAAAGAAUAAAAAUAAAUGAAGGAGUAGUAAUUGAUUCAUUCAUUUUGGUUAUUAAGAAAAUUGAUUGAUUAAUGAAAAAAAAGAAAAAAAAAAGUUCAAAAAAACCACAAAAAAGAUAAAGAACAUUGGAGGUUUCUAAGAUAUGACACAUAGGAUUGCCUAAAGUUUUCCUUUACAUAUAUAUAUUGAUUGGGUGACUCAUAUGAUAUUAAUGGGCGAUAUAUAUGGUAUUAUGGUGAUUCAUAUGGUAGAUAGAAUUAUUUAUUUCAAUUAUUGGAUGAUUCAUAUAUUAUUAAUGAAAGGUAAUGGUGUAGUCAGUGUAGGAAACAAAAGUAAUAAUAUUUUAAAAAAAAGAGACUAAAAGAAGAAUUGAAACAUAAUUAAAAUUAAAUCUAAAAAAACAGACUAAAAUUUAAGACGAAAAAAAGAGAAAAAAGACCCAAAAAAAUAUAUCUUUCAUAAUUAAAAACGAAAAAGAGAAACAUAAUUAAAACACUUAAAUUAAAUCUAAAAAAGAGAAAAAUUAGAUAUUUUUGCUUAAAUUAAAGAAUAUAAUGAAUAAAAGAGAAUCUAUUAUUUUCUUAAAUAAAUAUCUUAUUAGUUUUAAAUGUAUCACUUUUUUAUAUGUAUCAUCAUAUAAUAUAUGUAUCACUAUUUUAAAAAAUCGGGAUAAAAUAUAAUUAAUAAAAUAAUCAAAAUUUUAUGUAAUAUCACUUAAAAAUUUAGGGAUUUAUGGAAGUUACCUUGAAUUAACUUACAGUCAAUUCUUGAUCAAAAUUUUCUUCUGUCUUCUUAUUCUAAAUUGUUCGGUAAUGAAUUGAGCUUUUCUGUUGCUUUCUCAUAUUAGUCUACUUUGCCUCCGUAAA